UACGGAGGGGGCUAGCGUUGUUCGGAAUUACUGGGCGUAAAGCGCACGUAGGCGGCUUUGUAAGUUAGAGGUGAAAGCCCGGGGCUCAACUCCGGAAUUGCCUUUAAGACUGCAUCGCUAGAAUUGUGGAGAGGUAAGUGGAAUUCCGAGUGUAGAGGUGAAAUUCGUAGAUAUUCGGAAGAAACACCAGUGGCGAAGGC
RNAcentral lists this ribosomal RNA (200 nucleotides) under uncultured bacterium. RNAcentral's name for it is "partial 16S ribosomal RNA". It matches the Rfam family "Bacterial small subunit ribosomal RNA", at positions 524 to 722 of the family's 1533-position model. The record is from RNAcentral.